RNAcentral lists this small nuclear RNA (103 nucleotides) under Stegodyphus mimosarum. The record is from RNAcentral. Lineage: Eukaryota; Metazoa; Arthropoda; Arachnida; Araneae; Eresidae.
UCCUGCUUCGGCAGUACAUAUACUAAAAUUGGAACGAUACAGAGAAGAUUAGCAUGGCCCCUGCGCAGUGUAUAUGUAUGCAUAUGAUGAAUAAACUGGUAUG